GACGAACGCUGGCGGCGUGCUUAACACAUGCAAGUCGAACGGAAAGGCCCUGCUUUUGUGGGGUGCUCGAGUGGCGAACGGGUGAGUAACACGUGAGUAACCUGCCCUUGACUUUGGGAUAACUUCAGGAAACUGGGGCUAAUACCGGAUAGGAGCUCCUGCUGCAUGGUGGGGGUUGGAAAGUUUCGGCGGUUGGGGAUGGACUCGCGGCUUAUCAGCUUGUUGGUGGGGUAGUGGCUUACCAAGGCUUUGACGGGUAGCCCGCCUGAGAGGGUGACCGGCGACAUUGGGACUGAGAUACGGCCCAGACGCCUACGGGAGGCAGUAGGGGGGAAUAUUGCACAACGGGCGGAAGCCUGAUGCAGCAACGCUGCGUGCGGGAUGACGGCCUUCGGGUUGUAAACCGCUUUCGCCGGUGACGAAGCGUGAGUGACGGUAAUGGGUAAAGAAGCACCGGCUAACUACGUG
This 468-nucleotide ribosomal RNA is filed under the name uncultured bacterium. RNAcentral describes it as "partial 16S ribosomal RNA". It matches the Rfam family "Bacterial small subunit ribosomal RNA", at positions 28 to 507 of the family's 1533-position model. The record is from RNAcentral.